UAUACAUGACUCUGCGCAUAUCAAUAAGCGGAGGAAAAGAAACUAACAAGGAUUCCCCUAGUAACGGCGAGUGAAGCGGGAAGAGCUCAAAUUUGAAAUCUUAAAGGGUUUCCCUUUACGAAUUGUAGUUUAAAGAAGUGUUUUCUGUUGAGGUUUUGGUAAAAGUUCUUUGGAAUAGGACAUCAUAGAGGGUGAGAAUCCCGUAUUUGACCUUUACUUUCAACUUUGUGAUACACUUUCAAAGAGUCGGAUUGUUUGGGAAUGCAGUCCAAAAUGGGUGGUAAAUUUCAUCUAAAGCUAAAUAUAUGGCGAGAGACCGAUAGCGAACAAGUACCGUGAGGGAAAGAUGAGAAGAACCUUGAAAAGAGAGUUAAACAGUACGUGAAAUUGUCAAAAGGGAAGCGUUUGACACCAGUGUUGUUUUUCUGAAAAUCAAUUAAAGAACUGUUUAUGCUAAGUUGUUUAGACUUUAUCAGCUAUCUGUUUAGUUUUGAGCUUUUCUUUAAUGCACUUUUCAGUUAACAAGUCAACAUCAAUUUCUUUUGCUGUAAAAAAGCUUGAGGAAGGUGGCUUGAGAUUCGUCUUAAGUGUUUAUAGCCUCUUGCCUAUGCAGUCGGAGAGAUUGAGGUCUGCAGCGUAGAUCCUUCGGGGCUAAAUGCAUUUGUGCUAAGUUAUAGCAUUUUAUAGACAACUUGUUGACUAUGAUUUGUCUUGUAGCUUACUCGCUUAUGUUAUUUUACCUACGCUUAGGAUGUUGACAGCAGUAUAGACUGU
Molecule: ribosomal RNA, 774 nt
Filed under: uncultured Neocallimastigales
Lineage: Eukaryota; Fungi; Neocallimastigomycota; Neocallimastigomycetes; Neocallimastigales
Description: partial large subunit ribosomal RNA
Rfam family: Eukaryotic large subunit ribosomal RNA
Source: RNAcentral